RNAcentral lists this transfer RNA (89 nucleotides) under Marmota monax (woodchuck). Its description in RNAcentral is "tRNA.Ala". The record is from RNAcentral. Lineage: Eukaryota; Metazoa; Chordata; Mammalia; Rodentia; Sciuridae.
GGAGUAGUGGCUCAGUGGUAGAGCACUUGCCUGGCAAGUGUGAGGCACAUUAAUGAUAAAGACUACUGGGUUCGAUUCUCAGCACUGCA